UUACUCCGUUCCCCGACUAGUCCCGGCUACGUUCUCAUUUCCUGAAGAGAACAAUGAAAGCAAAAAGGUGAGCUCAACUAGCCCAGUAAGAAAUAUUAUGACUAAGAUAAUGCAGAAUAAUUUAUCGUUAGCCUUCAACAGUGUUAAACUGAUAAAAUAUAACAAACAUCAAGUUUAACUGCAGCGGAACAAGCAAUCCAUUAGAAGAGUCAAGUAAAGCAUAAAAUCUACUAUCUUCUAUGAUUUAAAAGGUUUUUCAUCACUUUUAUCGCUGAAACUCAGCUUAAUAAAUAAUUCACAUCAUCGAAUCACCUCUGCACUACGGCCAAGGAUAUUCUUUAGUAUCACGACCACAAAUUAUCCAUGCACUACGGGCCAAGGAUAUUCGUGUAUUCAUCAAUGGUCACGAUCAUGCCAACAACUGUCCAUCAAUGCACUACGGGCCAAUGAGGAUUUUUACCACAUUAUUGUAACAUUACGGUCAUGAUUAUACCGAAUAAUCCUUGGUCAUAAUCAUACCAAGUCCAUCUAUGCACUACAGGCCACAGAUGACUUUCAACAGAAUAUAAACAUGAGGAUGAUGACAAUGAUAUAAGAAUUCAAUAAAACAAGUUCAAGGAUAAAUUUUUAAAGAUUUAUAAUUUAAUUUAUCCAGAAAUCAAUAACGUCCAAAUUGUCAACAUGAUAUUGCUUUGUGAAGUAAAAUUCAAGAAUAAUAUUGUACCAAAAAUAAUUUAGACCGAAAACGAAUAAAUUUUUAUCAUGAAUAGUACCCCGGAUGAAUAGUACUUGAGUUAAUAGUACUCCGUGAAUAGUAUUUCGGGAAUAAUAACCCCGUGAAUAGUACUCCGGCAUGAAAAAAUUAAAACUUAUCAAGAAUGCUCAGAAUAAUAUUUCCAUGAAAAGAUACUGGAUGAAGCGCAAAUAUCAAGGAUAUUCUACUAAUUUUAUGGAGUAUAGAAGCCAAAAUUUUAACAAAACGAGUAUAGAAUUCGAAAUCUGAAAUAAUAUUAUUUACAUACUACAGAGUAUGGAAGAAAAUGUUAUUUCAAGCGAAUAUUGAACAAAAAUAACAUCCCUUACCUUGAAAAGAAGAGUAUUCCAACUGGUAUAGCGGGGAUAUUCUUGAAGAAAACUUUCACUAUUUUCUACGCUCAAAACUUUCUAAAACUCGAAAGAAAUACGCUCAAUAUUAUAGAAGAAGAAUUCUCUAAUUCUGGUGUGAUUUUCAAUUUUAACUUAAGCGCCUAUUUAUAGGAAAAUGCUAGAACGCCAUAGGAGACUAAAUAAUAAAAUAAUAAUAUUUUUUUUUCACGCACAUUUUCUUGACCAAAACUCAGCCACCACUAGUGGGCCCCGCCAAAUUCAGCAACUUUCCACACCAACAAAAAAGUGGGGUUCACCAUGUUUUUAAUAAAAAUAUUUAUUUUCUAAAACUUUAAUAAUUCAUAAAAAAUAGCCCCUUUAUCAGAAAAAUACGAAUUUUAUGUCCAUUUCACACGAAAUUGAAUUCUCUACAACUUUGCAGAAGAAAGUUUUUUCAAAUUCCAAACAGAAAAUAUCCGAAUUUCACAAACGUACAAUUUUCAACACCUCUUAAAAUUCAUAACAAAUCAUACGUUAAUUUUUAACGGUUCAAAAUUUGUAGACAUAUACUCAACUUAUAUAUGCAUAACAUAUCCAAAAAUUACAACGAUUCAACGGUCGGAUUAAAAUUAUAACUCACGCAAUAGAGCUUUAAGAACACCGAUUUGAUUUUUUAAUACCUCCAAUCCGAUAAAAUACUGAUAAAAUACCUCAACAUUAAUUCUUUCAUUUAUAACCACAUAAAAUAAAUAUUUUCCUAUCCAUCAUUUAUGUCCACAUAAAAUAAAUAUUUUCUUAUCCUACAAAUCAAUAACUAAUUAUUCCCAAAUAAUAUUACAGAAUCACAAUAAUGACAAUCAGACCGUUCCCAGGAAAGAGGGGGCUUUCCGAUAAGGAUUUCUCCUUACUGGCUCGCAAUUAGGUGACCAAACAUCUCCUUGAUAGAACUUUCUAGACAUUGCCAAUAAUGCUAUCUAAUAAUAUUAUUCAAAUAAUAUGAAUUAUUAAUUUGAUAAUGGAAAAUACUGUGCAGUGAUAAUUAUUGAAACAACAAUAAUAUAAAAUAUUAACGCAACAAUUAUUGAAUUAAUAAAAUAAAAUAUUGAACAGUAAUUACUGUAACAAUUAUUGAGUAGUGUCUUCUUACGUAAGAAUUAAUAAUUCAAAAAUACUGUGCAAUACCGUGUGCUACUGUGCAACCCCGCAUAUUACUAUAUUUUAACCACCGGGUAUUCUAACAGUUAACGGUAAAACUUUCGCCGUUAUUUUUAUAAAAAGAUAUUUUUGUCGUUUUUUCAAUCCGACAAUAAUUUCGUUGUGGGGUCCACCAGUGAUUGUGUCGUCGUACGAAUAUUCUUUGUUAAAACGAAUAUUCUUUGACCAAUCGAAUAUAAUAUAACAACUUGCGUACUUUGUAAAAUUUAUAAAUAUUAUCCACAACUAUAACAUUAUAUUAAAUUCACUCCAUAAUAUUCAAAAAUGAUAUUUAUAGAAAAUUUAUCUUUAUUCAUAAAAGUUGGGGUCUUACAUUUUUUGCUAGUUAGAACUCGGUGAUACUCUACGAACCCUGUCCGAUCACGUGCUAUGUGGUCCGUUGCUCCAGAAUCUACAAUUCACACAUUGAGAGAAUGAGCAACGGAAUAGAGUGGAGGACACUAAACACAUAGUUUGAUCAAGACAAGUUAUUACCUUCUUCGACUCAGUGCAGUCACGAGCGAAGUGUCCUGCUGUGCCACAGUUGUAACAAAUCAACUUGACAUUGUCUUUCUCACUAGCCUCUGCAACCUUUUGAGGCUCAUUAGCAUUAGCAAUCUCUAUUUGUUGAGCAUUUAGGCGUUCAUCUUCUAGUUGUUUAGUCUUUAAAUGCUCAACCACCAGCUGCUCAACUUUUAAGCCCUCAAGGUGAUAAAAAAUAUCUUCCAAAGAUUUAAUGUUUUCAUUUUGAGCUAUGUUAACCUUGAGAUUGUUCCAAUUGUCGGGAAAUGAGCAUAUCACUGUUCGAAUUUGUUGGUCAUCUGACAAAGGGUUGACAACAUCUCCUAACGUUUUAAUCAUAUUGGUAGUUAAGAGAUGCAAUCUAGUCAUGUCCAUUUUUUUGAAAAAAGAAAAGGGAAAAAAUCUUAUUAGAGAUAUUCGAUUAGUUCACCACAGUAUAUAAAUCAUCUUUGUCCCAUGAACCAAAUUAACAUAAAAAUAACGGGACAAAAAUACAAAAGGAGAGACUUUUGCCAGGCUUUGGAAUCACAAUUUGUAUGAAUGUCUAAUUAUUUAAAUUUAGUUUUUCAGAGCAUAAGACGUAUAAUUUAGGGAAUAACUUAAUUAAAUUACUACCACCUAAAUUACCCCCACUAAGAACAAGGUUAUGUGUAAUUAUAGCAUGGUAAUUUAAUUCUAAGAACCAAUGACUAAUAUUUCAAAAUAUAAACAAAGAGAAUUAAAUAAUAUGCAAUAUUACUCAAUUAAUAUACCAAGUAUGCUAUAAACACAUUAAAAGGCUUCCAAAUUUUUUUCAAUAUUAGCUUAUCAUCAUAAAAGGAUACUGUAUUUUUCUGAUUUUUUUUGAUAAUUAUGCUAAUUAUUAUAAUUAAUUAAUCAUUGCAUAAUUAAUUAGAAAUUAACCAAAAUACCCAAAUAUAUCAAUUUCUUCCCAAAAAAUUUACAACAAUAGCUUAACAUCGUAAAAAGAGUAUUGUAAUUUUCUUGGAAUUUUUCUGAUAAAUUUGUUAAUUUUCACAAUUAAUUAACCAUCGUAUAAAUAAUUGGAAAUUAACCAAAAUAACCAAAUGUAUUAAUUUCUUUCGAAAUCUUUACAACACAUCAUAAAAAGAGUACUAUAAUUUUCCUGGAAUUUUUCUGAUAAAUUUGCUAAUUUUUAUAAUUAAUAAAUCAUUGCUUAAUAGAUUGUAAAUUAAACAAAAACUAUCCAAAUAUAUUAAUAUUUUAAAAUUUUAGUAGAAACAGUAAUUAUAUGCUAAUAAUUAAUUUUUGUAAAUUUUCAGAAUUAAAUAAUCAUUAUAACUAUUUUUUAAUUAAUUUCCAUGAAUUUAUUAAUUAUUAAAACAAUUUCUGAAAUUAAAAUAAAAAAUAAUUAAAUCUGUUGGACCGGGUCGAGGUGCAGGUCAAGACCGGAUCGCAGAUCUGGAGUGGGUCGGAUUGGGCGAACCAAUCAACAGGUCAAAUCAAUCGGGCGCGUGAGCCACACACACUAAAUAAGCAGCAGCCGCGCAUGGGCAACGCAGCGCUCCAGCGCGUGUGAGCUCCACGCGCUGCCUUCCCGACAGUUCUUUGUAGCGGUGAUUGCACAGUUCUAAUCGACUCCUUUUUCCAAGUCCAAUGGUAUGCUCAAACUCUAUUUUAAGAGCUUUCAUGAGGGAGGUGUAGUGCAUAUAUUUCUGUCCAAGACUGAAACUUGCACUUCUCUUUCAACCUUUAGAAUCUAAAAAUUUUCAGAUUUACCCUUUCCUGAUUCAAAUUUUGAGAAGCCAUAUCUUAGUCCAUAUAACUCCGAUUUAAUCACAUAAUAUAUCAUUGGAAAGCUUACAACGGAUAAUCACAUAAAAAGUUAUCCGUACUAAUUAAUAUUAUUAUUUUUUAUGCAUUUAAUCGUGAUCAACUUAUAUGAGUGAUUUCACUGAUUUUUUUGGUGAGUAGCUGGUUUAACUUACCAAAGGUUCAUAUAUUUUAUUUAGAAGAGUUUUGUAAUUUUAUUUGGAAAUAGUAACCUAUAAAUAAAGGAUAAGAUCCAAGUGUGAGAGGUUGUGUCUAAUGGGGAAAAAGGUUAUUUAUUUUGUUUUUUUAUGUUACAUAAAAGUGAAAUGAAAUAAAUGUUUAAAAAUUAAUAAUAGAGUAAGUAGUUGCAAACAAACAAACAAACAAAAGAUGCAUCUUUUUCUUUAGCAAUUUAUACUUUUAUAUUUUAAUUUUUGGGGAGAACUUGGGAGAAGAGACCAAAUUAUUAACAAAUUUUUUGGAAAACCCUAUAUUUAUUUCUAUUAAUAAAGCCUUCAACUUUUAAACUAAUUUCUAUCUAUACAUUAUUCUCUUUACUAUUCACACAUUCUACUCGGCUUACUUAUCUCUCCGCUACUCUCACAUUUUACUCUUACAUACCGACUUAUCUCUCUCUAUAUAUUUUUCUUUUUAUUAAUUAUUAUUUAAAAAAUUACAUUCAGGUGAGUGUUUGCUCAACAAACUAGUUUAUUAUAAAGCAUUUUACUAAUGAUAUUAUCGGAUAUAUUUUACGACUUUAGAAUGAAAUAGAAGAAUAAAUAAAAUAAAAAUAGUGUAUUUUAUAAUUAUUUUGGAGGAUAAAUUAUUUCAAAUAUACACUUAAAAAUAUUUUAAAAUUAUUUAAUUUUGUCCUCCAUUUCAUUCAUUCAAUCCAAAUACGGCAACAUGAGAGUCCAUAUUUGUUUUUUGGCACUUGAAGCCAUUAAAAUUUAACAGACUUUCUAUUAAAAUUCAUAAACUGGUAUUGCCUGGCCCUUUACUGGUUCGUGCUUCCAUUUCCUUAUGCAGAGUUUUGAAAAUGUUCACGGGCUUAUAACUUUUAAGUGACAUAUAAAAUAUGCUCUAUUCGCGAACUCCUUAAAACCGAGAAUUCGAGCCGUUGAUGGCACAUUCAAAUCAAUCUUUUUUCAAUCAAAUUCUUCAAUACACCCAAAUCAAGAACCUCCCAAAAGGCAAAACCUUGCAUGGCCAAAUCAUCAAGACUGGUAAAUCUUCCUGCACGUAUCUCGCCAGCAGCCUCGUCAACUUCUACGCCAAAUGCGAGCACUUACCCGAAGCCAAUCUCGCUUUCGAAGAAAUACAAGACAAAGACAUUGUCUCAUGGAAUUCCCUCAUCAAUGGCUACUCUCAACUGGGUGGGUCUCAAAAUUCAAUCUUUGUUAUGAAACUUUUCAAACGCUUAAGGAGGGAAAAUGGGUUGUUCCCAAAUGGUCAUACUCUUUGCGGCGUUUUCACUGCCGCGUCGAUUUUGUUAGACCCAUUUGGUGGGCAGCAAGCUCACUCGCUUGCUAUAAAGAUUGCGAGUUGUGAUGAUGUAUUUGUGGGUAGUUCUUUGGUUAAUUUGUAUUGUAAGUCCGGUCUUGUUUAUGAUGCUCGCAAGGUGUUUGAUGAAAUGCCUGAAAGGAAUUCGAUUACUUGGAGUACGAUGAUUUCUGGGUAUGCUAUGCAGAGGCUUGCUGGUUAUGCUUUGGGACUUUUUAAAAUGAUGUUGUGGGAAGAGGAGGAAGGUGUUAAUGAGUUUGUGUUGACUAGUGUUCUUAGUGCUUUUACAUUGCGUGAAUUUAUUGAUGUUGGUAGACAACUUCAUGGACUUGUGAUCAAAUUUGGGAUUUUAUCGGUUGCAUCUGUUGGGAAUGCUAUUGUUACAAUGUAUGCAAAGUGUGGGAACUUGGAUGACGCGUUUCAGUCGUUUGAGUUGGCGAGUGAUAAGAACUCUAUUACGUGGACGGCAAUGAUCACUGGUUUCGCACAAUCUGGGGAUUGUGAAAAGGCGUUGACUUUAUUCUCCAAAAUGCAUUUUGCUGGCAUGAAGGCUAGUGAGUUUACCCUUGUUGGAGUCCUGAAUGCUUGCAGUGAUAGUGGUGGCGGGAAAAAAGGAAAGCAAGUCCAUGGAUAUCUUGUAAAGUCGGGAUUCGAAUCACAAAUUUAUAUAAUGACAGCUUUAGUUGACAUGUAUGCUAAAUGUGGUUGUAUCGAUGAUGCUAGGAAGGGGUUUUAUUAUUUACGAGAACCUGAUAUGGUCUUGUGGACUUCCAUGAUCGGAGGGUAUGUUCAAAAUGGGGAGAAUGAAAGUGCUAUGGACUUGUAUUGUAAAAUGCAAAUUGAGGGUAUAUUGCCCAAUGAGUUGACUAUGGCCAGUGUCUUAAAAGCCUGUUCUAGUCUUGCUGCUUUUGAGCAAGGAAAACAGAUACAUGCCCAUACCAUCAAGUUUGGAUUUGGUCUUGAAGUUCCAAUUGGAAGUGCUCUGUUAACUAUGUAUGCAAAGUGUGGAAGUCUUGAAGAUGGAAACCUCAUCUUCAGGAGGAUGCCUGCAAGGGAUGUCGUGUCAUGGAACUCAAUGAUUUCCGGUGUUUCUCAAAAUGGACUUGAUGAUGAAGCGCUUGAACUUUUUGAAGAGAUGCGACUAGAGGGCACAAAACCAGACAGUGUUACUUUUGUCAACGUUCUCACUGCUUGUAGCCAUAUGGGCUUUGUAGAUAGAGGUUGGGCUUAUUUCAAGAUGAUGUCUGAUGAAUUUGGUAUUGUUCCAAGACUGGAGCACUUUGAAUGCAUGGUUGAUAUUCUGAGCCGUGCCGGGAAGCUCUACGAAGCAAAAGAGUUGAUUGAAACGGCAACUUCAGAUCAUGGUCUCUGUUUGUGGCGCAUUUUGUUAAGUGCCUGUCGGAAUUACCGUAAUUACGAACUGGGGGCUUAUGCAGGAGAAAAAUUGAUGGAGUUGGGCUCAGAAGAAUCAUCUGCUUAUGUAUUGUUGUCUAGUAUUUAUACAGCGUUGGACAGGCGGGAAGAUGUGGAACGAGUAAGAAAGAUGAUGAACCUUCGACGGGUGAGCAAGGAGCCUGGGUGUAGCUGGAUUGAUCUGAAGAAUCAUGUGCAUGUGUUUGUUGUUGGAGACCAAUUGCACCCCCAAAUUAAGGAAAUACGGGCUGGUUUACUAAGGUUAAGCAAGCUAAUGAAGGAUGAAGGUUAUGAACCUGCUUCUGAUAUAAGCUUAUUAGCGGGUUUUGAAGGCUGGGAUGACAAAGAUAUUAUUGUACCCACGGGCACACUAACUUAAUCAUUUUGUAGCUGAUUCUUUUAUAUAUUUUUUAUAGUCCGCAAGUAUAACUGAACUUGGGUGUAACUUUGUCUAUAUAUACUGCCCCAAGGUUUAUGAUAUUAAUCACAAAAUUUUGCAAAAAUACCAUUGAAAAAAAUCAGUCUCGUGCUUUCCUUCUCUGUGACGUUUUGUGUCUGUGGCCUGCUAGAUGUUACUCUGGAAAGUGAAGUAUAAAAAUAAAUGAUGCACCUUGUUAUAAUUCCCAGUGGAAACUAACCGUGCAUGGCGAAGGUCUGAAAGAUGGCCAUGUUUCAAUGUUGGACAAAACUACUGCCUUUUGGAGAUCUGGAACUGCAGACUGCUUCUGUUUCACCUUGAUCCUAGCUUUAAAUGAUCUUGAUAUUGUUAUGUCUCUGUUACAACAACAAAAUAAUACUCCAAAGUCUGUUAUAAUAGAAGUUGCUUAUGUACUACAUCUAGGAUUAGUACAAGUGCUCAAAGAAAAAAAGGUAAUAACAUACUUUGGAAUGUUUUAGGUGUGGGAACGGCCCAGAGUUUUUCCUUGUUGCUGAAAAUAGUAUGAUGUAUAUGUCAGUCCUAGAUGAGCAGUUUUUCUCACAGCAUAUGCUUUGC
Molecule: long non-coding RNA, 8485 nt
Filed under: Panax ginseng (ginseng)
Lineage: Eukaryota; Viridiplantae; Streptophyta; Magnoliopsida; Apiales; Araliaceae
Description: long non-coding RNA (PGIN_LNC013266)
Source: RNAcentral